Molecule: long non-coding RNA, 424 nt
Organism: Myzus persicae (green peach aphid)
Lineage: Eukaryota; Metazoa; Arthropoda; Insecta; Hemiptera; Aphididae
Exons: 2
Source: RefSeq, a predicted model, not a curated record
AUUUUAAUUGCUGAGAUAUUAUACGCAACGCCAUAGUGGUUAUUAAUUUUUAAAGUGGGCAAAGACCAUAUAGUAGGUUACUGAUUUAUAAAAUAUAAGGACAAUUGUAAAAUGAUAUUGUCAUAAUUAAAUUCAAUGUGUUCAGUUUAGAAAAAAAUAAAAAGUUUUGUUAACAUAUAUAUUUGUUUUUGUGAUAUUUCAUCAUUUUUAAACCUAUGUUUAUUAAAAUUAAAGUAUAAUAUUGUACAUUGAUAACAAUCACGACGUCGAUCGCCUCUAUUUGUGUAUGGUGCAAUCUAAUAAGCCGUGUGUAAUGAUGAAAUUAAUUUAAAAAUUUUACCAGUUUAGCGAUUGGUGUCAAGUAAAGAAUAUUGCAAACUAAUCUGCAGGUGCAUAUUCAUCUAUAUAGGAAAAAAUAAUUUCU